GCUGGUCUGAGAGGACGACCAGCCACAUUGGGACUGAGAUACGGCCCAGACUCCUACGGGAGGCAGCAGUGGGGAAUAUUGGACAAUGGAGGAAACUCUGAUCCAGCGACACCGCGUGGGGGAUGAAGGCUUUCGGGUCGUAAACCCCUUUUCUGGGGGAAGAAUAAGGUUGGGAGGAAAUGCCCAUCCGAUGACGGUACUCCAGGAAUAAGCAUCGGCAAACUCCGUGCCAGCAGCCGCGGUAAGACGGAGGAUGCAAGCGUUAUCCGGAAUUACUGGGCGUAAAGGACGUCUAGGCGGUUGGGUAAGUCACUUGUGAAAGCCCUCGGCUCAACCGAGGAAAGUCUCGUGAUACUGCCCAGCUUGGGUGUAGGAGAGGGAAGUGGAACUCACAGAGUAGCGGUGGAAUGCGUAGAUACUGUGAGGUACCCCGAUGGCGAAGGCAACUUCCUGGCCUACUACCGACGCUGAAGCGUGAAAGCGUGGGGAGCAAAGGGGAUUAGAUACCCCCGUAGUCCACGCCCCAAACGAUGUUCACUUGGUGUCGGCCGCAAAUGUAGGUCGGUGCCGGAGCUAACGCGUUAAGUGAGCCGCCUGAGGAGUACGGCCGCAAGGCUAAAACUCAAGAGAAUUGACGGGUCCCCGCACAAGCGGUGGAGCACGUGGUUUAAUUCGAUGUAAGCGAAGAACCUCACCCAGGCUUGACAUACUAGUGGUAGGAACCUGAAAGGGGGACGACCCUACCUUCGGGUAGGGAGCUAGUACAGGUGAUGCAUGGCUGUCGUCAGCUCGUGUCGUGGGAUGUAGGGUUAAGUCCCGAAACGAGCGCAACCCUUGUCGUUAGUUGCCAGCGGGUAAUGCCGGGGACUCUAGCGAGACUGCUGGUGAAUAGCCGGAGGAAGGCGGGGAUGACGUCAAGUCAUCAUGUCCCUUAUGCCUGGGGCGACACACAUGCUACAAUGGGUGGUACAGAGGGUCGCGAAGCCGUAAGGUGGAGCCAAUCUCACAAAACCAUCCUCAGUUCGGAUUGAGGUCUGCAACUCGACCUCAUGAAGCCGGAAUCGCUAGUAAUCGCGGGUCAGCCAUACCGCGGUGAAUAUGUACUCGGGGAUUGUACACACCGCCCGUCACACCAACCGAGUGGGGGGUACCUGAAGUCGUCUCUAGGAGGCGCCGAGGGUAACCUUCGCAAGAGGGGUGAAGUCGUAACAAGGUA
RNAcentral lists this ribosomal RNA (1216 nucleotides) under metagenome. Its description in RNAcentral is "bacterial SSU rRNA". It matches the Rfam family "Bacterial small subunit ribosomal RNA", at positions 286 to 1498 of the family's 1533-position model. The record is from RNAcentral.